RNAcentral lists this ribosomal RNA (467 nucleotides) under uncultured bacterium. RNAcentral describes it as "partial 16S ribosomal RNA". It matches the Rfam family "Bacterial small subunit ribosomal RNA", at positions 28 to 506 of the family's 1533-position model. The record is from RNAcentral.
GACGAACGCUGGCGGCGUGCUUAACACAUGCAAGUCGAACGGAAAGGCCCUGCUUUUGUGGGGUGCUCGAGUGGCGAACGGGUGAGUAACACGUGAGUAACCUGCCCUUGACUUUGGGAUAACUUCAGGAAACUGGGGCUAAUACCGGAUAGGAGCUCCUGCUGCAUGGUGGGGGUUGGAAAGUUUCGGCGGUUGGGGAUGGACUCGCGGCUUAUCAGCUUGUUGGUGGGGUAGUGGCUUACCAAGGCUUUGACGGGUAGCCGGCCUGAGAGGGUGACCGGCAACAUGGGGACUGAGAUACGGCCCAGACUCCUACGGGAGGCAGCAGUGGGGAAGAUUGCACAAUGGGCGGAAGCCUGAUGCAGCAACGCCGCGUGCGGGAUGACGGCCUUCGGGUGGUAAACCGCUUUCGCCUGUGACGAAGCGUGAGUGACGGGAAUGGGUAAAGAAGCACCGGCGAACUACGU